Molecule: long non-coding RNA, 2029 nt
Filed under: Homo sapiens (human)
Lineage: Eukaryota; Metazoa; Chordata; Mammalia; Primates; Hominidae
Description: long non-coding RNA NONHSAT032390.2
Source: RNAcentral
AGCCGGCUCUACAGGUAACAGGCGUUUCUUCUCGCGCAGUUUGAACAAAAACAAUCCAGAAGGAACAGAUUUGGUUUUUUAAAAAAAAUGAACAAAAGCCAAAAAAGCCACAAACACAACCUAAACCUUCUAAGAAGCUCGACUACUCCCGUUCUGCACGUUCCUUCCCAGAAGGAUGCAGACCCCCGGUGUCGGCGGGAACCAGGAAGCUCUUGGGGCCUCCCUGGGCCAGACCUGCACCCGGGAAGCCGCCGCAAGGCUUCAGGAGCCCCAGGUCGCCCCAAGGCCGCGCCGCAGGAUUGAACAAAGCGGCGGGUGCAGCAACCUCGGCGCUUCCGAGCGCGUUCGGGGCCGGACGCCCGGCGUCCGGCGCUGGCUCCAGAAAGGCGGCGGGUGUGGGGCGCAGAGGCCUAUCUCGCGCCCUAGCCGCGGCCCGCGCCCCGCCGCAGUCCCCGGGGACGGUACUCACACACGCAGAGCUCCACCACGUACGCGUAGUAGGACCAGACGACCACGAAGGUGAUGAAGAGCACCGGCACCCAGCCCACGACGCGCUGGCAGCAGCGCCACAGCGUCCAGGGCGCCAUGUUCCGCUGGCGGCUGCCGAGCCCCGCGUCCCACCGUUCUGGGGAGCGCGGGAGCCCCGGCGACGGUGACUCGGACGCUCCAGGCGGCUGCUGGUCCAGCUCCCCCGCCUCCGAGGCAGGACUUGUGGGAGCAAAAGUCCGAGGCGCCGCCGGGACUCCUCCCGUCCCGGCGCCCAGCCAGGCCCCGCCCCCACCCCACAUCCCGUCGCCCCCCUCCCCCCGCGUCCGUCCCCGCCAGCCCGCCCGCCGCGGGCCGCGGGCCGCCCCCGGUCUCCGCGUCGUUGGGGCGGGGUUUCCGCGGCCGGGGAGGCGGUGAGGGGGCGGGGCCGCAGCUCGGGACCGCCCAUGGGGCGUGGCGGGGCUGGAUGCGGACAGGCUGGGCGGACGCGGGAGGCCGGGGAAGGAGAGGCGAAAAACACGCCCUUGAUGGAUGAGAGGGACAGGGGAUAGCUUUUGUGGAUCGAGACUCAAUAGGGGAGGGAGACUAUGGAAAUGAUUCCUUAGCUGAUUUGUGGAUCUUGGCCCUCUCUGUGUACAGAACUCGCUCCACUGGGGUUCCUGGGACAUUGAGUAGUUGGGGCACUGUUUCAAACAUGACAAGGCCAUUCCCCACUCAGUGUGCGAAGAAUGCACAUUGUUAGAAGGCUCCUCCUGUGAUUUUUAUGUUCGUCCAUCUUGGCGGAACCCCUCCCUUUCUUGAAGAUGGAACGGUAGAUACCUGUAAUUUCGGGUAGAAGCCAUGUAGGGUCCAUCAGUUUGAUUCGUAACCCAAAUUUAAGAUUGAGUAGCGAGAAGGAAAGGGCAUGUAAAUGACCCUCUCCUUGCCCCGCAAACGACUAAGGAAAUUUAAAGAAUUUAUUUACAACUAGAGGUUGCUAAGCAAUGACGAUAAUCAUAUAGAACCCAGAAGCAUCACUGUGAAGACUUCACAAUGCAAGGUCAGACGCAUUAGAAGGGAUUCCAGACCGCAAUCUUCAUACCAGUUCCUGCUACUAGCAUUCAGUUUUGGUUAGAAUGAAUUUUUGUGUUUGUUUUUUGAAACAGGGUCUUCUCGCUCUGUCGCCCAAGCUGGAGUGCAGUGGCACGACCUGGGCUCAUUUAAGCCUCGACCUCCCUGCUAAAGCACUCCUCCUGCUUCAGCCUGCAGAGUAGCAGGGACUACAGGCCCGCCACCAUGCCCAGCUGAUGUUUGUAUUUUCUGUAAAAACUAGGUUUCGCCCUGUUGCCAUGCUGGCCCUGAACUCCAAGGCUCAAGGAAUCCCAACCCCUCUCCGCCUCCACCUCCCAAAGAAGUGCUGAGAUUACAGGUGUGAGCCACCACGACCGGCCUACACUGAGCUUUAAAUUAGCUACUGCUCACUAAAGUCUCCAUGAAGAAGACGUCACCCUUUGCUGUGUCAGAGAAAUGUAGUAAAAGCGAGUAAGUAUUUAAUCACUGCACA